This 553-nucleotide ribosomal RNA is filed under the name uncultured bacterium. Its description in RNAcentral is "bacterial SSU rRNA". It matches the Rfam family "Bacterial small subunit ribosomal RNA", at positions 777 to 1328 of the family's 1533-position model. The record is from RNAcentral.
AAUAGAUACCCGGGUAGUCCACGCCGUAAACGAUGAGUGCUAAGUGUUAGGGGGUUUCCGCCCCUUAGUGCUGCAGCUAACGCAUUAAGCACUCCGCCUGGGGAGUACGGUCGCAAGACUGAAACUCAAAGGAAUUGACGGGGGCCCGCACAAGCGGUGGAGCAUGUGGUUUAAUUCGAAGCAACGCGAAGAACCUUACCAGGUCUUGACAUCCCAUUGACCACUAUGGAGACAUAGUUUUCCCUUCGGGGACAACGGUGACAGGUGGUGCAUGGUUGUCGUCAGCUCGUGUCGUGAGAUGUUGGGUUAAGUCCCGCAACGAGCGCAACCCUUGUUCUUAGUUGCCAUCAUUUAGUUGGGCACUCUAAGGAGACUGCCGGUGACAAACCGGAGGAAGGUGGGGAUGACGUCAAAUCAUCAUGCCCCUUAUGACCUGGGCUACACACGUGCUACAAUGGACGGUACAAACGGUUGCCAACCCGCGAGGGGGAGCUAAUCCGAUAAAACCGUUCUCAGUUCGGAUUGUAGACUGCAACUCGCCUACAUGAAGACC